GACGAACGCUGGCGGCGUGCUUAACACAUGCAAGUCGAACGGAAAGGCCCUGCUUUUGUGGGGUGCUCGAGUGGCGAACGGGUGAGUAACACGUGAGUAACCUGCCCUUGACUUUGGGAUAACUUCAGGAAACUGGGGCUAAUACCGGAUAGGAGCUCCUGCUGCAUGGUGGGGGUUGGAAAGUUUCGGCGGUUGGGGAUGGACUCGCGGCUUAUCAGCUUGUUGGUGGGGUAGUGGCUUACCAAGGCUUUGACGGGUAGCCGGCCUGAGAGGGUGACCGGCAACAUUGGGACUGGAAGAGGGCCCAGCUUCCGAGGGGGGGAGGGAGGGGGAAAGAUGGCAAAGGGGGGGGAGGCCGGAGGCAGCAACCCGGGGGGGGGGAGGAGGGCUUGGGGGUGGAAACCGUUUUGCCCCGGUGACGAGGGGGGGGGGAGGGGAAUGGAUAAAGAGGCACGGCAAAAACAGGUC
This 468-nucleotide ribosomal RNA is filed under the name uncultured bacterium. Its description in RNAcentral is "partial 16S ribosomal RNA". The stretch from base 17 to 369 matches the Rfam family "Bacterial small subunit ribosomal RNA", at positions 44 to 395 of the family's 1533-position model. The record is from RNAcentral.